CACGCGGAACAUAUAUAUACAUAUGUAUAUAUACGCGUAGAGAGCUGAUAGAGUGUAAAUGGAAUGUAAAAUGGAAGGAAACGCGUGGUUACGAGAAUAAGUCGCUCGUAUCGACAGAGUUUCUCUAGGGACCUUUAAGAAGAGGAGGAGGAGGAGUGUAUUCUUUUGUUUGACAAACGUGUCGAACAAUAAAUCACGCACCUACGCCUUAGCCUUCGGCUAUAUCGUCACAAGAACGAGGAAAAAGAAGCUUGUAACUCGUUUCGUAAGUAGAGUCGUGUUUUACGGAGCAUUGACGUCACUGGUGUAUUCAGAUUGCAUUGUUGCAGAUAAGUUUCAAUCGAGCACCGUUCCAGUUUUAACGUUUAACAACGGGAGCCACCAGAUAAGCCAGAUUCACUGCAUAUCCAACCCGAUAAGAGAAUCCGAGGGGAAAAACAGGAUUCAUUCGUAAUUCACACUUCUAAACAUUUUAUGUUAUAUUGGCCUUAUAUACUGGCUACAGAAAGUAUUGGAACAUACACUUACCUCUUAAUAAACAAAAUUUCAUUUUCAUAAGAAGACAUUUUUUUGAAUCGUACGAAAGUGCUGCUAGCUAAACUACCGAUACGAAAUGAAUAAUAUGUUUUGAAUCUAAUUAAUUAGCGUGUAGAUGCUAUAAUAAAUACAAUAGUGUACCAAUGCUUUCUAUAGUCACUGCAUAGUAACUUGUAUUGUCGAAACGCACGGUUAUCCCCUUUUUAUUAUUAUUAUUAUUAUUUUUACUAAUAUUAUUUAUUCUGUAUUAUUAUAUUAUUUCGCAAAGCGUCACAAAUAACGCGGAGAAAUAGUGGAAAAGAAGUGCGCGCAACGCGCGCAAACAUCACGAUCGCGGAAGCGCGAUGUUUUUCUUUAGAAGCUUGCGUCGUCCUCGAUAAAACGGAUGGCGAAAUUUUCAUCCGAACCAUACACCAGAAAAGCGACAACGACCUCGGCUCAAGUGCGUCAAUGCACGAGCAAGACGAUUUGAUAAAAGUGCAACCGUAGCUUGUCUUCUUUGCGAAAGCGAGGCGAAUUGUUGUCUGGAAAUAAUGGGAUAAGAUCGCGUACACGCGCCUUAUAUUAUUUGCUGAUUUUUAUUCUUCGUGACUGAAUCGCGAACGCCGACCUCUUUUCGCGCACGAAAUAUCGCGCCGCUGAUCUUAGUAAAUUGCACGUCGUUUACAGAAAAAUUGCUAGGAAAUAAGUACAGGAAAGUUCAGGUUUAGAUUAAACAAAAUUUGGAUACUUAUCUUCGAUUCUAUCGUGUUCUUACUCUUAUAGUAUGCCUAUCUAUAGUAUAUCUAUUGUAACGUAAAAUUGCACAUUUUUCUACUUUUAAUAUAAUAACGAUCGAGGGAUAUCUUUGUUCUUUGAACCAUUUUAUUUGUAAGAAGCGCGAAACACGCAAAAGUUAUAAAACUUACGUCGAAUGAUAAAACCAAGCAUUUAAAAACUGUGUAUAUUUUUUAAUGUCUAUUGAAACGUGGCGUCCGUUUCACAUCCAUUUCGCAUAGACUAGAAGAGCACAGCAGGAUUGAAAAAAAACCAGAAAGAAUAAUUUUCAAAAAACUACAGAGUCGAGUUUCCGAAUUCCUGUUAACCUUUGGUCUACGACGAACGAUCCGGACAAUGUACGUCUUUUCAAAGACACUGGAAGAAAACUCGUUUCGCUAUUAACAAUUUUAAUCAUUUUGUUUAGAACUGUAUAGAUUUAACGAUUUUAAGUUUUAACUUAGACUGCAGAGUUAAGCGAUAGUACACGUCGAGUUACAACGUAGGUCUUCAAAGAUCUACCGAGUUCAAGUUCGUAUAUCUAGAUAUUAUAUUGCGCCGCCUUCGCAUCGAUUUUUAUGCAAGCGAAAAAGUCAUAAAGAUCAGCCACUCGUUGAUUAUCAUCCGUUUGGAUGAUAUUUGAACAUCACCUGUAAGAGAUUGGUACAACCCCUAUGGAAAAUAUUCAUUACGAUCAAUUCUUCUUCUUUCUUACGUCAUAUCCUUCGAAUGUUAAGGUAAAAAAUGUAUUAAAUCGCUAAUGACUGUAUUGUUUAGGUGCACAUAGGUCAACAUCAAUAUACAGGGUAUUCGGGCUGUUCCCAGCGUUUUUCUUGUAAACGAUCAGUAUGCGGAAAAAAUGAAAGGGGAAACAGAUGAAUGAUUCGAACUGAGCUACAUGUUCGCGUGAUAAAAUUUUGUUCACAAUAGCAAAAAUGUAUGUGCAUCUUGCAGUUGCGCUAUUUUUUUGAAACGGAAACCUUCUCUGUUUUUUGCACACAUCGAAGCCUCUCGUCGUUCUACGAAAAAAACAUGUUCGAAGAUUCGGUAGUCUAAAAGAUAUUGUAACUUUAAUUUUGUAAAAUUUAUCGUAAGGCAAAGAAAAUAUAAAUACGAGAGUACUUCGUUACAUAUUUCUUCGUUCUCCAUAUGAUAAGUUUUGUAUAAAAUUAGUUAAAAUCUCUUUGAAAUCAAUCAGUUUUCGACCAUGUUUAAUACUUGAUCUUUUCAAUUGAUGAGACGAUCCGACGAAUGCAAAAAAGAUAUUAUCGUGAAUAUGUAUUUCGGUCUAAACCGACCAUCUGUCUUUUCCGCUUUUUUCCUCAUACUUGUCGUUUACCAUAAAAACGCUGGCAACUAAUAACAUAAACACCUUCUAUGAUAAAAAUGGGAAAAGUAAAAAAAAAAAAAAGAAGAGUACGAAGUAAGGCAAAUGCUAAACGAUGUUAAUACGUUUAGUAUCAUGGAUAUUUUUUUACCAAAGACAGGAAUUGUUGUAAGUCGGUUUGCAGAGUGCUUAUUCAGUCUUAACGCUCAAUUAGUAAGACGAUACGCUUUUUACGUAAUCGGACGAAUUGAAUUUGAUCCUACUUAAAAUACUAUAGAACGUGCAGUUUCAUGUAUUUUAUGCUUAUAGCUGCACGUGUAUGUGUUGUGUGUAUAUGUAAAAAAUGGAUUAACUUUUUUUAAAGCUAAUAAGUUACGAACCUGAGCAUAUUACACGUAUAUGUGUCUUUAUUAAAUUUGAAUACGUACAAUAAAAUUAUCAUUAAAUUACCUAUAUAUUUUAAUUUGUUGUUAAUCGUAAAUUUUACUCUUUUUUUUACUUCCAUCUUAUUUAAUGCCCAGCCAUAAAGUAACAAUAACAGACACGAUGAUCUAAAAAAACAUUUUGAAAAUUCUCGAUUUUAUUUUAGUAGGUUGAUGUUAAUGUGUUGUUUAGGAGUUCAAGAUAAUAGCAUAUCACGCUUUUAAUAACCAAUUUUUUCCGAGAUAAUAGUGACGAUAAAAUAUGACGUAAAAUUAAUAAGUCGAUGUUGUUAUGGUACUGUGUUAUGCUACGUAAAUCUUUCAUCAUAGUUAUGCCUAAAUUUUUUUUUUAUCGCAUCUACUAGCUAUUACGUGCGUUAUAAUAUGCAAAUAAAUAUGCAUUGCACAAAUACGAAAGGUUGCUACGAUCCUCGGGAACUUCUCCCUGCGUCAGAAGAAAAUAAUCUUCUUUUUUCAUAGAUGACAUUGAUUAACAGUAAUUACAAUCAAUCGUUAUGCAAUUUUUUCAAGCGCAUGUAAAUUUCCUCCUGUAGUAAUAAAAUUCUAGAAUAGUGUAACUAAUUUAUACGAUACAUUCAAAUUCCUCCGUGAUGUAUUAACGUUGUUAUUGUAUAUUGUGCCUUCCGUUCCUCUCUUUCCCCAAUUUCCAUAUUUAUAACUUUUGCCCUUUUUUUAUUCUGCAUAGAAGUCAAAAAUUUAUUACAAUUAUAUAUCAGGUUUUAACAUUAACAAAAUCUCGAAGCAAUAGCAUAUUUCUGGAUAUUUCUCCUUUUGUUUAAUACUUUUUUAGAUACUAGUAACAACUUUCACAGCGAAAGACUGUUACGCGGUCGAAUUAAGGAAACGAACAACUAUGUCUGUAACGUGUUCUAAGAAGAAUAACAAUCUUGAAAUUCAGAAUAGACGAAGCGGAAAUCAAGACAAGAACAAGAUGAAAACGAGGCAGAAACAUGAUAAAAGAGGCAAAAACAAGGUAUAAACGUGAUAAACGAAACGAGGUAGAAACGAGGUCAAAAAAUGUCGUAACACGAGUAUAAGAAAUAUAAAGAACAACAAAAAGCCAGUUUCUCAAUUAAAAUGACGCGGAAAUUAAAUACUAGAUCGACGUCAAUGACAUGAUGCAUAUGUAUAUGUAUAUUACUUGUUGUCGCUUUAAGCAAAUGAGGGCUCUAAAAUGUCGAUCAAUGAUCCCCUACAAACGUGACCCCACAGGAAAAAAACAAUUUAUAAAUCAAGCCUGACUUUAUAUGUACUAUCAUCAAUCGAAAGCCAUUCGAUCAUGUGGUUAUAUUUUUUAACGAUAACACCAACACGCUAUUUGUUAUUAAAUAGACAUUUUCCAAUUCGUCAACUAAAUAUAGUAUCGUGUAUUUGCCUAUAUGUAUAUUCUAUGUUUUACGUAUGUAAAGCGAAGAAAAUAAAUUUUCUUUUAUACUUUAAAUCUGUAGAACCUGAAUAUAUAAAUUUUAUAUUAAUACGAUAUUAGUACAAGUUUGAUAAUAAAUAUUAUUUGGUAAAACAUCUUCUGAAAAAAGAAAAACAGAAUAAGAAAGACUGGCGAAUGAUUUUUACGUAAUAGAUAAGUUUUGAGAGAUAUUUGUCUCGAUUUUUCACGCUCUGCAAUUAUGAUUAGGAUUAAUAUUACUGUAUUACAUAAUCAAAUUGUAAAGAAAACAAUAAUUUAUCAAUGAAAAGGUACUAAUUCGCUGUCUAUUCAAUUACUUGAGAAAUAAUUAUUCUUCUCGUCUGUUUUAUAUUGUUGUUACAGCAGGUAAUUUAUUUCUAUUGAACAAUUUUCCUGACAGUCUGCAUGUAUAAGUGGGUUUCAUAUUAAAGAAUAUAAAAGGAAAGCGAAGUAUAAUUUAAUUUACUGGGUAAUACUGAUCAUUAUCAUUAUAGAGACAUUGUAUGUUUACUCUGAUAUUAUAUUCUCCAGUGACGUAUUAUUACGAUAAAUGUAGGUAUCUCGAAAUAUCAAAUAAAUUUGACAUCUUUGUAGAAACUUACAUGCUACGAUAUCGAAUUCCAAGAUAUAUUGACUUUUUCCUCUGAAUUGUGUAAUCAGUAUUAAGAUUUAAGUGCUCGAAUACUUUCAUUGAACCAAGUUAUGGUUACAACGUGCUUGGCAUUUUCAGAUAAAAGGAAUAACACAUGCUCUGUACGAUGGGAAUAAACGAUUAAUUUAAGAAGCUACAUAAUCGUAACUCUUGUCAAUGACGAUAUGAACUUGCAGAUAAAAAAGCUGAUGUAUAUAUGUAUACAUAUAUAUAUAUGUGUGUGUAUAUAUAUAUACGUUCGAUAAAUAAAAUCCAUGUUAAUA
Molecule: long non-coding RNA, 5383 nt
Organism: Bombus huntii
Lineage: Eukaryota; Metazoa; Arthropoda; Insecta; Hymenoptera; Apidae
Exons: 2
Source: RefSeq, a predicted model, not a curated record